GACGAACGCUGGCGGCGUGCCUAAUACAUGCAAGUCGAGCGCAGGAAGCCGUCUGAACCCUUUGGGGGGACGACGGCGGAAUGAGCGGCGGACGGGUGAGUAACACGUAAAGAACCUGCCCAUAGGUCUGGGAUAACCACGAGAAAUCGGGGCUAAUACCGGAUGUGUCAUCGGACCGCAUGGUCCGCUGAUGAAAGGCGCUCCGGCGUCGCCCAUGGAUGGCUUUGCGGUGCAUUAGCUAGUUGGUGGGGUAACGGCCCACCAAGGCGACGAUGCAUAGCCGACCUGAGAGGGUGAUCGGCCACACUGGGACUGCGACACGGCCCAGACUCCUACGGGAGGCAGCAGUAGGGAAUCUUCCACAAUGGACGAAAGUCUGAUGGAGCAACGCCGCGUGAACGAUGAAGGCUUUCGGGUCGUAAAGUUCUGUUGUAAGGGAAGAACAAGUGCCGCAGGCAAUGGCGGCACCUUGACGGUACCUUGCGAGAAAGCCACGGCUAACUACGUGCCAGCCGCCGCGGUAA
RNAcentral lists this ribosomal RNA (524 nucleotides) under uncultured bacterium. RNAcentral's name for it is "partial 16S ribosomal RNA". It matches the Rfam family "Bacterial small subunit ribosomal RNA", at positions 28 to 523 of the family's 1533-position model. The record is from RNAcentral.